This 492-nucleotide ribosomal RNA is filed under the name uncultured bacterium. RNAcentral describes it as "partial 16S ribosomal RNA". It matches the Rfam family "Bacterial small subunit ribosomal RNA", at positions 29 to 507 of the family's 1533-position model. The record is from RNAcentral.
AGUGAACGCUGGCGAUAGGCCUAACACAUGCAAGUCGUACGGCAGCACAGUAAGAGCUUGCUCUUACGGGUGGCGAGUGGCGGACGGGUGAGGAAUACAUCGGAAUCUACUUUUUCGUGGGGGAUAACGUAGGGAAACUUACGCUAAUACCGCAUACGACCUACGGGUGAAAGCAGGGGAUCUUCGGACCUUGCGCGAUUGAAUGAGCCGAUGUCGGAUUAGCUAGUUGGCGGGGUAAAGGCCCACCAAGGCGACGAUCCGUAGCUGGUCUGAGAGGAUGAUCAGCCACACUGGAACUGAGACACGGUCCAGACUCCUACGGGAGGCAGCAGUGGGGAAUAUUGGACAAUGGGCGCAAGCCUGAUCCAGCCAUACCGCGUGGGUGAAGAAGGCCUUCGGGUUGUAAAGCCCUUUUGUUGGGAAAGAAAAGCAGCAGGUUAAUACCCCGCUGUUCUGACGGUACCCAAAGAAUAAGCACCGGCUAACUUCGUG